GACGUAGGGCGCGAGCGUUGUCCGGAUUUAUUGGGCGUAAAGAGCUCGUAGGCGGCUUGUUGCGUCGACCGUGAAAACUGUGGCUUAACUACAGGCUUGCGGUCGAUACGGGCGGGCUGGAGUUCGGUAGGGGAGACUGGAAUUCCUGGUGUAGCGGUGAAAUGCGCAGAUAUCAGGAGGAACACCGGUGGCGAAGGCGGGUCUCUGGGCCGAUACUGACGCUGAGGAGCGAAAGCGUGGGGAGC
Molecule: ribosomal RNA, 245 nt
Filed under: uncultured Rugosimonospora sp.
Lineage: Bacteria; Bacillati; Actinomycetota; Actinomycetes; Micromonosporales; Micromonosporaceae
Description: partial 16S ribosomal RNA
Rfam family: Bacterial small subunit ribosomal RNA
Source: RNAcentral